AACUGCCAUAAUGGCCAUAGCAGAAGUGCUCAUGUUGUGGCCCUGUCAGACCCUAACAAAUCUGUAAAUUCUGCU
RNAcentral lists this ribozyme (75 nucleotides) under Crocodylus porosus (Australian saltwater crocodile). RNAcentral describes it as "Mammalian CPEB3 ribozyme (ENSCPRG00005002007.1)". It matches the Rfam family "Mammalian CPEB3 ribozyme". From Rfam's summary of the family: The mammalian CPEB3 ribozyme is a self cleaving RNA located in the second intron of the CPEB3 gene which belongs to a family of genes regulating messenger RNA polyadenylation. Lineage: Eukaryota; Metazoa; Chordata; Crocodylia; Crocodylidae. The record is from Rfam by way of RNAcentral.